GCUCCCUCUCAAGCACUGUCCUGCACGGUGGGUCAAAGGAACACAUGACGAAAGCAGAUUUCUGUGACAGUGAUUGAAAGGCGUCAGUGGGAGGUUUGGAGCUGAAUAAAGAGGCUACAUAACGGCUCCGCAAGGGUGAAGCCAAAGCAUAUUGAUAGCCACCUGCAUGGUGGCUGGCUGCGCUGUGUAUAUAGGUCCACGUGUGGAGACCAAGUCAAAUCCUGGAGACGAUUGUGACUAAGCAGGACCGAGACAGACUGGAGGGUGGAGAUGAAACACUGCAGGGAUCCUGAGUGUUCAGCAGUGAUCUGCAGUGCAAAGACAGGAUGACAGACGAGGACACGGUGACAUUAUUGUAGAGUUGGGCCCAGACAGACAUGUAACAGUGUCCCAUGAGAGAGGAUCUCACCAGCCUCUGGAGGACGAGUCACAUCAGUCAUGAUGGCGCCCUUGUCCAGUUUCACCACCAGCAGAUC
Hippoglossus stenolepis (Pacific halibut) is the source of this 476-nucleotide long non-coding RNA. RefSeq lists it as uncharacterized. The record is from RefSeq and is a predicted model, not a curated record. Lineage: Eukaryota; Metazoa; Chordata; Actinopteri; Pleuronectiformes; Pleuronectidae. The transcript has 4 exons.